This 253-nucleotide unclassified non-coding RNA is filed under the name uncultured Alphaproteobacteria bacterium. Its description in RNAcentral is "contains 16S-23S intergenic spacer region". It matches the Rfam family "Bacterial small subunit ribosomal RNA", at positions 524 to 776 of the family's 1533-position model. The record is from RNAcentral. Lineage: Bacteria; Pseudomonadati; Pseudomonadota; Alphaproteobacteria.
UACAGAGGGGGCUAGCGUUGUUCGGAAUUACUGGGCGUAAAGGGCGCGUAGGCGGUCUGUUAAGUGAAAGGUGAAAGCCCCGGGCUCAACUUGGGAAUGGCCUUUCAUACUGGCAGACUUGAGACAGGUAGAGGAAAGUGGAAUUACGAGUGUAGAGGUGAAAUUCGUAGAUAUUCGUAGGAACACCAGAGGCGAAGGCGGCUUUCUGGACCUGAUCUGACGCUGAGGCGCGAAAGCGUGGGGAGCAAACAGG